UACGAAGGGGGCAAGCGUUGUUCGGAAUUACUGGGCGUAAAGGGCGCGUAGGCGGGAUGGCAAGUCGGUCGUGAAAUCCCUCGGCUCAACUGAGGAUCGUCGAUCGAUACUGCCGUUCUUGAGGAUUGCAGAGGAGACUGGAAUUCCCGGUGUAGCGGUGAAAUGUGUAGAGAUCGGGAGGAACACCGGUGGCGAAGGCGGGUCUCUGGGCAAUUCCUGACGCUGAGGCGCGAAAGCGUGGGGAGCAAACGGG
This 253-nucleotide ribosomal RNA is filed under the name uncultured bacterium. RNAcentral describes it as "partial 16S ribosomal RNA". It matches the Rfam family "Bacterial small subunit ribosomal RNA", at positions 524 to 776 of the family's 1533-position model. The record is from RNAcentral.